UCAGCUGCAUCAGCUCUAGAGAAUUGAUCUCAUCGAGGUUGAUACAGGAAGGGUAUUUUCAAGUUUGAAUUUCAUGUUUCUCCAUUGCGCAAAAAUAACUCAUUAGUAAUAUUGAAUACAGGUCCAGGAUAAAUUGAGCAAAACAAUAAUGCAAAUUUGGUCAAUUAUAUUUACAAAUGCAAAUUAUGUAUGGAUUUACGUGUUUAUGUAAUAAGAGGCCAUUUGAAGG
RNAcentral lists this unclassified non-coding RNA (229 nucleotides) under Hevea brasiliensis (rubber tree). Lineage: Eukaryota; Viridiplantae; Streptophyta; Magnoliopsida; Malpighiales; Euphorbiaceae. The record is from RNAcentral.